This 71-nucleotide transfer RNA is filed under the name uncultured Minwuia sp. It matches the Rfam family "tRNA". Rfam says of the family: Transfer RNA (tRNA) molecules are approximately 80 nucleotides in length. Lineage: Bacteria; Pseudomonadati; Pseudomonadota; Alphaproteobacteria; Minwuiales; Minwuiaceae. The record is from RNAcentral.
AUCCGUAGCUCAGCUGGAUAGAGCGCUGCCCUCCGAAGGCAGAGGUCACAGGUUCGAAUCCUGUCGGGUCC